This is a non-coding RNA of Cherax quadricarinatus, 296 nucleotides long. NCBI's taxonomy places the organism in Eukaryota, Metazoa, Arthropoda, Malacostraca, Decapoda, Parastacidae. The record is from RefSeq and is a predicted model, not a curated record.
AUUUAAAAAAAGGGUUUUUAAAAAAAACCCCUUUUGGGUUUUUUUUUAAAUUUUUAAAAAUUUUUAAAUUUUUUAAAUUUUUUUUUUAAAAAGCCCGGGGGGUUUUUUUUUUUUAAAAUUUUUUUUUUUUUUAAAAGGGGGGGGUUUUUUUUUUAAAAACCCCCUUUUUAAAAAAAAGGGGGGGUUUUGGGGGAAACCCCCCCCCAAAAACCCGGGGGGGGGUUUGGGGGCCCCGGUUUUUGGGCCCCCCCCAAAAACCCCCCCCCCAAGGGGGGGCCCCCCGGGGGGGGUUCCCC